CCUGCACUAUCAAAGGAAGCAAAUGGUCGCCGGCAUAGAGGAGAGAUUAAGCUCCGCAUGGCGGACUUCAAGGAAGACGAAGACGCGCCAAUUCUGAGCUCCCGAAUUUUGGAGGCCUUGAAGGAGUUCUUGAGCGAGUACAACUCAUUGGGCAUCAGAGCCGGAAGCGAAGAAGAUGGAAAAGUGGAUGAAGUGAGGCUGGUGACAGAGGACUGGAGGCUAAGCCAGUUCUGAUACGACCAAGUGAAGGCGGAGACGAUCGUCAAUGAGAUUAUGGCUCUUUGCUCUUCAGCGUCCUCUCGUGUGGCCUGCGUCGCCUGUCCCGCUCUCUAUGCCUAUCUCAAGGAAUGAUUGAACAAGUUCUUCUCUGGGGUUUAUGUCAUGCUACAUUAUAGGUUUAAAACAUAGACAAUAGUUGAUAGCCACAUGGAAGUCAAUUCUCAGGUGAAAGUCCAAAAGAAACCUGGAGAACAAAGCUUAAUGGGGGACAAUGCAAUGAUAGUUACUGAUUUUAAGGUAGGGCAGAGAGACAAGGGAAUAAUUGGGGCUCACGCGAAGAGGAGUUUGUUAGUGGAAAACCACAUGUCGAGAUCUUCAUAGAAGAGUGCAACACCAAUUAAUAUCCGAGGUGAGGAGGAAUUAAUAGCAGGACACGUGGUUGACCAAGAUAGAAAAGAAGAAGCUCAAUCUAUGGUGCAGAUAGAAGCUGAAGGGAAACGUAGACUGAGGUGCCCGAAUACACGUUUCCAUGACUAUCUCUGGGGAUAAAGAGCUCAGUAUAGAGAUUGGGGAAAGAGAUCACUAAAGAAGAAAUUAGAGGCCUAUCUCAGAGGAGACAGGAGAGGAAUCCGGUGGUGGUGCACUGCCUGGUUUGGUUAUCUUACUUCUCAUUAAUUGUUCUUGUUGUUUACAUUUUUGUUGCUGAAUUGUGGGUUAUUUUUAGAACUGUUAAUCAGUCUUGAUUUUGCUGUGAAUGCUCUGUGAGAACUUAGAUCUACUUGUGAUUCUUCUGAUUGGUUGAAUGUAUUUCAAAGAACUAGAUCUACAUAUUAUUAAGCAGUAUUGUGAAAAUUCUCUGUGAUUGAACUCUGAUCAAGAGUAGAAUCAGCUGAAAUUUUACCGAAACACACUAAGAGUGUUGAUUUGAGAUUUGAUUUCAAUUGAUCUUAGAAUAGAUCAUAACAAUUUAAUGGGUGAUUUCAUGUCCUUUUGAUGUGCAUGUUCUUUAGCUUAGAGAGACUUUAUAUGUGGUUAUGCACCAUUAUCUCAUUGAAGUAAACUUAUAUGCCAAACAGACAAGAGUUGCCUAUGUGUGUUACUUCCGAGAAGUUGUAAAAAAUUGGCAUAAGAGCAACUUAGGUGUUUUAUUAGUUUCCCAAUAGUUAAAUAAAAAAUAAAAGUAGAUCAAGCAACAACACUUGUUCUGAAGUAUAUAUGCUCCCCUUGCCCAAAAAUAGUGGUUGUGAUGACCAAUGUUACGCCUUUCGUAUUUUUCCUGCUCUAUUAAUUAUGUGCACAUGGUUAUGUUUCUCAUGAAUCAACAUCCUUGAAU
RNA transcript from Dioscorea cayenensis subsp. rotundata (Guinea yam), 1552 nucleotides. It is a transcript of the gene named EEF1A lysine methyltransferase 1-like, with no coding region annotated. NCBI's taxonomy places the organism in Eukaryota, Viridiplantae, Streptophyta, Magnoliopsida, Dioscoreales, Dioscoreaceae. The transcript has 2 exons. The record is from RefSeq and is a predicted model, not a curated record.